ACGACUCUCGGCAACGGAUAUCUCGGCUCUCGCAUCGAUGAAGAACGUAGCAAAAUGCGAUACCUGGUGUGAAUUGCAGAAUCCCGCGAACCAUCGAGUUUUUGAACGCAAGUUGCGCCCGAGGCCUUCUGGCCAAGGGCACGUCUGCCUGGGCGUCACG
This 160-nucleotide ribosomal RNA is filed under the name Dioscorea polystachya (Chinese yam). Its description in RNAcentral is "5.8S ribosomal RNA". It matches the Rfam family "5.8S ribosomal RNA". From Rfam's summary of the family: 5.8S ribosomal RNA (5.8S rRNA) is a component of the large subunit of the eukaryotic ribosome. The record is from RNAcentral. Lineage: Eukaryota; Viridiplantae; Streptophyta; Magnoliopsida; Dioscoreales; Dioscoreaceae.